CAGCCGUAAACUAUGCGCGUUAGGUGUAUCGGUGACCACGAGUUACCGAGGUGCCGAAGGGAAACCGUGAAACGUGCCGCCUGGGAAGUACGGUCGCAAGGCUGAAACUUAAAGGAAUUGGCGGGGGAGCACCACAACAGGUGGAGCCUGCGGUUUAAUUGGACUCAACGCCGGGAAGCUCACCGGAUAGGACAGCAGAAUGUUUGCCGGGCUGAGGACCCUGCAUGACUAGCUGAGAGGAGGUGCAUGGCGUAGACGUCU
Molecule: ribosomal RNA, 261 nt
Filed under: uncultured archaeon
Lineage: Archaea
Description: partial 16S ribosomal RNA
Rfam family: Archaeal small subunit ribosomal RNA
Source: RNAcentral